CCCUCGGGAGGGGGACACCCCCGGGAAACUGGGGCCAAUCCCCCAUAGGGGCGGGGCGCUGGAAGGCCCCCUCCCCGAAAGGACGGCGGCCGAUCCGCCGCCGCCCGCCCGAGGAUGGGGGCACGGCCCAUCAGGUAGUUGGCGGGUUAAAGGCCCGCCAAGCCGAAGACGGGUAGGGGCGGUGAGAGCCGCGAGCCCCGAGAUCGGCACUGAGACAAGGGCCGAGGCCCUACGGGGUGCAGCAGGCGCGAAUACUCCGCAAUGCGGGCAACCGCGACGGGGCUACCCCGAGUGCCGGGCGAANAGCCCGGCUUUUGCCCGGUCUAAAAAGCCGGGAGAAUAA
Molecule: ribosomal RNA, 343 nt
Filed under: uncultured prokaryote
Description: bacterial SSU rRNA
Rfam family: Archaeal small subunit ribosomal RNA
Source: RNAcentral